UCGGCGUUGGCCAGGGCGUAGCCGGCGAUCUGGUUUCCGAGGUCGAUGCCCGCAUCGGAGUGAUAGUUCGGGAUCAUCACGUCGAUC
Molecule: transfer RNA, 87 nt
Filed under: Mycolicibacterium cosmeticum
Lineage: Bacteria; Bacillati; Actinomycetota; Actinomycetes; Mycobacteriales; Mycobacteriaceae
Description: tRNA-Gln
Source: RNAcentral